UCCGAGUUGACCCCGGCAGUCUCCCAUGAGUCCCCGGCAUUAUCCGCUGGCAACAUGGAACGAGGGUUGCGCUCGUUGCGGGACUUAACCCAACAUCUCACGACACGAGCUGACGACAACCAUGCACCACCUGUGCACGGCCCUUACGGACCCCCCAUCUCCGGGGGAUUUCCGUGCAUGUCAAGCCUAGGUAAGGUGGGGAUGACGUU
This 209-nucleotide unclassified non-coding RNA is filed under the name uncultured Geodermatophilaceae bacterium. Its description in RNAcentral is "contains 16S-23S intergenic spacer region". The record is from RNAcentral. Lineage: Bacteria; Bacillati; Actinomycetota; Actinomycetes; Geodermatophilales; Geodermatophilaceae.